Long non-coding RNA from Tympanuchus pallidicinctus (lesser prairie-chicken), 2469 nucleotides. RefSeq lists it as uncharacterized. The transcript is spliced from 3 exons. Lineage: Eukaryota; Metazoa; Chordata; Aves; Galliformes; Phasianidae. The record is from RefSeq and is a predicted model, not a curated record.
UGGAGCAGCUGGGAAAAGGACCUGGUCAGCUCUGGGAGCACAGGUGAAGGCAAUUCAGCUGUGUGAUAGGAAGGGAUGGAGGCUGGCUGCACCUCUCUUAGACCUCAUUUAAGGGCUGGCUGCCACUGGGUCAGGUUCUGUGGUUGGAGAUCUCUCCCUUGUGGUGUUUUCCCUGUGAACCUGGAUCUUUGGAGAUGGGUCACCCUCGGUUGCUUCCCUUUUUCUCCUGAUGAGUUACUAGCUCAAUGAGGUGAAGUGCUAUAGCCAUCAGAAAUUGGACAGUUGUUCGGCUGCACAGCUGUCCUGCAGUCCCGUGGUUCUGGCAUGAAGCACUGAGCAAACGAUGCGAGAGAGCAUCGAUCCACCAACAGCCCACAGCUUAUGGGCAGCUUGGGCAGAAGUGGCUCCUGACAAGAGAGUGGACAGGGAAGAAAAAUGUUAUUUAGCAGCUGCCAUUUUCUGAUCUGCUGGGACUCCUGAUAGACGCAGUGUGCCUUCCUCUUCAUACCACGGCUGGGUGUUGCACGUGAGGGUCCAUGAAGCAGGCUUUUUAUGCCUCUGGUGAUUUAUACAUAUCCUGUUCAUUGAAAGUUGUUGAAAGUCUGGAUGGUGUUUUUGCCCAGGAGGUGGGAAGAAGGGCUGAGGAACCACCAUCCUUUAGCACUCGCAUGGUGGCUGCUGUUGGCACUGCCAGCAUUGCUGUGGUUGUGCUGCCUUGCUGAGGAAUCCCAGCUUGAGAAAACAGAGGAGCAGUAGAUUUAAGAGCUCUUUUCAGCAGAGGAAUAGCUGUGCUUACUGACAAUAACGAGGAGAUGGAUCAUCUUUUGUUAUUGGCACACUAAGAGGCAUCCCAAAGAAACCCAGAAUACUGAGAGGAUAGAGGACAAACGGACUAUACAGCCAGCAUGAAAACACUCUUAUUCCAGCAUCUUGUGUUCUAAAGCCUUCAUCUCCAAAUACCUGUUGCUGUUUUCAUGGUGGACUGAGUUAAUGCAGAACUCAGCAUUCCCCACUGUUUUCCCUGCUGCCUUACGGAGGAUUUUAAGUAGCAGCCGGUGGUCAGCAUUAAAAAGGUUGCUGGCAAAUCACAGUCUAGAACUUCCUGUCAUUUUUGUCAUUUUGAGGUUGGCUGUUGCACUUUUUUCUAGUAAUUGUUGAAUAUGAAAUGCUGACUGACUUCUAUUUCAUGAUCAUAAGGUUUAAUGAGCGUAUUAUUUAAUAUGGCCCAAGAAACCUGCACCUCUGUCUUUGUUCCCAAGAAAGUAAUUGCUAUGAGCUGUUUUUUCACCCUCUGGAACAAUUCAUAAAUGUGGUUUCUGAUCUAUUUCAAAUUCCAGAGUGUCAGUGCCCAGGACUUUCCAUUGCUCUGAGGAAAACUGGAUGGCUGAGUGAUGGAAUGAGUGGAAGGUGGAACAUAUUCUAGUUCCGUGCUUACAUGAUUCUCUCAGUUACAGAGGAAUUUGAAACACAAGCAUAAAAACACCUUUAAUUAAACACUAAUUUUUAAGACCUAAGGAAGGAAGUCCAUCUGCAGUGCUUUAAGAAAAGUAGUCCUCAUUCUUUUCUAUCGAAGAAACAUUCGUUCCACAGAAACUCUUAUCUGGAGUUUCCAUUCUUCUUUCAAAGCCAGUAUUUUAAUAUUCACCCAUCUGUUAAAAAUGGCUAGAUGCAACUUCUUGGAAGACUGUGAACACUGCAACCAUCUCCCACCAUUUAUUUUUUCCCUCUCCAUUUGGUCUUGUAGCCAAACAGCAAAGGAAAUGUAGAAGUGUAAGAAAGCAACAUGAGCCAGGCCAACAGCAACUUGACCUGCAGCACAGCCUGCAAAUGUCAUUCAAUCCCUAUUUGAACAUUAAGUUGUCUCACCCUUUGUCACUGCUUUCUCUUAAUCCUCUGUCAUCACAAUUCUUAUAAUGGAAAACUGCUUAAAUAUCAGAAUUCCACAAUAGUUACUGUAAAAUAUUUCUUGGCCUUCAAGCAAACAGUAUAGAACUAAUUCUAGAAGAAUUAAAUAAAGUAACAUGUAGGCUGCCAUGGCUGAUUUCUUCAAGACAGGAAUGAACACACCCACUCAGAGCAAGAACAUCUUAAAUCUGUAAAGUACCAAAAUCGUGAUUCCAAAUUAAAAAAUAGACAGGCAGUCAGAACUGAAUUCCUUCUAGUCUUACCUGGAAGAGUCUUUCUACAUUAAAGCUGUCAUUGACACAUCUGAUGCUCUUAUUUUUGCUCUGAACUACUGCUACUGUUGCUCUUUCAUACUCUGUUCAGGCCUGCCACCAUCCUGCACAGCUGCUGUGCACAGCUUGUUGUUUACUGCAAUAGCUGGAAUAAAUAUUUGAAAGCUUAAAAUCAGAGCUUCUUUUAAGUUCAGUUGUAAGAGUAAGUCAAGUCUACCAUUAUAUCUUAGAUUUAUUCACCACAAUUAGUAACGAGGCACUUCAAAAGAGUUUGCAUAACUUUAGCAGGCUU